RNAcentral lists this non-coding RNA (30 nucleotides) under Homo sapiens (human). Lineage: Eukaryota; Metazoa; Chordata; Mammalia; Primates; Hominidae. The record is from RNAcentral.
UGGUACCUGUGUGCGUCAGGGAUGCUCUGC